AUUGAACGCUGGCGGCAGGCCUAACACAUGCAAGUCGAGCGGAUGAAGGGAGCUUGCUCCUGGAUUCAGCGGCGGACGGGUGAGUAAUGCCUAGGAAUCUGCCUGGUAGUGGGGGAUAACGUCCGGAAACGGGCGCUAAUACCGCAUACGUCCUGAGGGAGAAAGUGGGGGAUCUUCGGACCUCACGCCAUCAGAUGAGCCUAGGUCGGAUUAGCUAGUUGGUGGGGUAACGGCCUACCAAGGCGACGAUCCGUAACUGGUCUGAGAGGAUGAUCAGUCACACUGGAACUGAGACACGGUCCAGACACCUACGGGAGGCAGCAGUGGGGAAUAUUGGACAAUGGGCGAAAGCCUGAUCCAGCCAUGCCGCGUGUGUGAAGAAGGUCUUCGGAUUGUAGAGCACUUUAAGUUGGGAGGAAGGGCAGUAAGUUAAUACCUUGCUGUUUUGACGGUACCAACAGAAGAAGCACCGGCUAACUUCGUG
RNAcentral lists this ribosomal RNA (484 nucleotides) under uncultured bacterium. RNAcentral describes it as "partial 16S ribosomal RNA". It matches the Rfam family "Bacterial small subunit ribosomal RNA", at positions 30 to 507 of the family's 1533-position model. The record is from RNAcentral.